UGAACUGAGACCUCAAGUGCGGCCCUGAA
RNAcentral lists this non-coding RNA (29 nucleotides) under Mus musculus (house mouse). The record is from RNAcentral. Lineage: Eukaryota; Metazoa; Chordata; Mammalia; Rodentia; Muridae.